Molecule: long non-coding RNA, 1164 nt
Filed under: Astyanax mexicanus (Mexican tetra)
Lineage: Eukaryota; Metazoa; Chordata; Actinopteri; Characiformes; Acestrorhamphidae
Description: lncRNA (ENSAMXG00005010224.1)
Source: RNAcentral
AGUAGUGAGUAGUGAGUGCACCCCUGCCCUCAGAGCAGCUCCACAGUCCACAGUGUGGAUUAUCAGGCAGCGCUUCCUCACAGUAUCUGUUGCUGCUGCUGCUCACUGACUCCUCCCUCACUUCCUCACACUCCACCAAACUCACUCAGUGUGUGGAUGCCCGCCGUACCAGCGCCGAGCAGCCCACACCACCCAGCCCGGCCGCCCUUACCGCGUUUCAGAGCGUUAAAAUGAGACUGGAGUUUUUAAAAGUCGGUUUUAUAACUGUGUUUUAUUAGAUGCGCGUCUCGCGGGGGGUUUUGGCGCCACGAUGGCCAAUUUAAAACGGCAGCGGUCGUGGCACGAGGACUUCUCCAGAAACUUUCUCCGACUGUUUUCCAGAAGUAGGUCUGUGGAGCAGGAAAAAACGGACACGGAGGCUGAAAAUGGGGAAGAACAUGAGGAUGACAGCACUGUCGGCCAGUCUGAUGAUGCCGACACAGCAUUUGCACCUUUGCAUCACCUCACCAUGGAACCAGCGGCACAGACACUGGGGCAGUCAGAGCAAGACCGGCUCCUGGAGACGCACAGUGUGGAUGAUCCGGAGCACAGGGUGCAAGACAACAAUGCGGAUCGCGACCCUCUUCCCGUCACCCCUUCUGCCCUGGAGCCCAGCUCUCCGCCGCCCCCUGUAGACGGCUUCUUCAGAAGGCUGGGCAGCCUGUUCCUAUUCGGUCGAGCUGAGCCCGGGGGAGCUGACGGGCAGAGUCAGCCCGGCACGGUGUUGGAAGCACAGGGAGCAGUGGACACGCAGCACACUGACCCCAAAACACUGCUUACAGGGAGCACCGAGGCACAGACGAGUGUGGAGGAGGGAGGAGAGCAGCGUCUGAAGCCUACGGAGCUGUCUCAGUCUCAGGAGCUGUCUAACUCAGCGGCUGGUCCAGAGGUUAAAUCCACAGGGCAAGCAAAGCAAGACAUAGAAAACACACAUGGCACCUGCGACCCUAGGAGAGUAAGGACUACCACAUGCCUCCUCCGACACGUGAAGUCAGUCAUCCCUUUUUUCAAGCUGCUGCCAAUGCAUCAUUGCCUGAACAGCUAGUGCACUCGGAGGAAAGCACAGCAACUUGUUACAUCCGCUCACAAACGCCUUGUGCCGCCCAGCGCCACCUUUGAGAGUAC